This 465-nucleotide ribosomal RNA is filed under the name Vreelandella stevensii. RNAcentral describes it as "partial 16S ribosomal RNA". It matches the Rfam family "Bacterial small subunit ribosomal RNA", at positions 338 to 795 of the family's 1533-position model. The record is from RNAcentral. Lineage: Bacteria; Pseudomonadati; Pseudomonadota; Gammaproteobacteria; Oceanospirillales; Halomonadaceae.
CCUACGGGGUGCUGCAGUGGGGAAUAUUGGACAAUGGGCGAAAGCCUGUUCCAGCCAUGCCGCGUGUGUGAAGAAGGCCUUCGGGUUGUAAAGCACUUUCAGUGGGGAAGAAAGCCUUGGGGCUAAUACCCUCGAGGAAGGACAUCACCCACAGAAGAAGCACCGGCUAACUCCGUGCCAGCAGCCGCGGUAAUACGGAGGGUGCGAGCGUUAAUCGGAAUUACUGGGCGUAAAGCGCGCGUAGGCGGUCUGAUAAGCCGGUUGUGAAAGCCCCGGGCUCAACCUGGGAACGGCAUCCGGAACUGUCAGGCUAGAGUGCAGGAGAGGAAGGUAGAAUUCCCGGUGUAGCGGUGAAAUGCGUAGAGAUCGGGAGGAAUACCAGUGGCGAAGGCGGCCUUCUGGACUGACACUGACGCUGAGGUGCGAAAGCGUGGGUAGCAAACAGGAUUAGAUACCCCAGUAGUC